AUGAUGCAAAAAAGGAUUGAUUUCAAAAGUUGCGAGUUGCAUUGGCAGCCGCCCUUGGCGCCCGGGCCACCUUUUUCCCGGGCCCCGCUGCAAGGGCCGGGAACGUUUCCGCCACCUGGCCGGGCUCGACCGCGCGGCGCUCUGCGGGGCGCUGUCCCCGCUCCCCGAGUGCGCAGCGGAGCGUCCUGGAAGACAAUGACCAUGGGAACAAUUUGCACAGGAGGCUAGGAGCCCAGGAAAAGCCGCCUGGGCGCCAGGCAGAGGUUUUUUGAAAACACAAACGGCGCGUUAGAUGCUUGGGGACUCCCAGCAUCUGUCCUUCCUAUUGUUUAGCUCGGCUCCGGAGUUCACGGGAGCCUCGUGAAAUGUGGAGACGUCCUGCAAAGUUUCUUGAACACUUCAUGUGCGUGGUAGGAAGUCGAGGAAAAAGGUUUACGGUUCCCCGCUGGUUGCAUUGUUUGUCCUGCACAUGUUCGAGCGAACAUGGCAGCCGCAACCCUGGAUGUGUUCGAAUUGACAUCGAGGGGGGAGCUUCACGUCGUGAAAUAACUUUUUUCUGGGCUUUCGAGAUUCUAAAGCAUUGCUGAUGAAAAUAAACCAAAUACUUUCAGAUAUCGUUUAGGGCUUCUCUCUAAAACAGCAGUGUGCAGGAAUGCCGAUCGAACUUUUCUAGGCAGUAGGUCAGCAUUUUCCAAAUGUUAUUUGGGAGCAGAAAUGUUUUGGGUCACUGGACCGUGCUUUACGUGGCACGGCAGGUUGGCACGCUACGCAGAUGCCCUUUUCGUUAACAUUUCCGCUUGCCAGUUGCUCCGGGUUUUAAUCCUGGGCUGGAUGCAGAAGUGAUGCCACCUCGAAGACAGGCUGCUCCUGUCUUUGUGUACUUUCUUCAUACCCUGUAGUAAGUUUGCAAAGAACGUGUUAGUCUGCA
Homo sapiens (human) is the source of this 928-nucleotide long non-coding RNA. NCBI's taxonomy places the organism in Eukaryota, Metazoa, Chordata, Mammalia, Primates, Hominidae. The record is from Ensembl.